UUGAAUCCCCUCGAUCUGUUUCCUCAUUCCAUCAUCAAGGACGCUCUAGCUGCGGAGCCCUUCGCCACCUCCGAGAUCCGCCGCCGCCACCCUCUCUGAUUCUUGUCGACGCUGCCGGCGACGCCAUCCGGCUCUCGCGUCAGCUGCCACCAACGUGGCUCCACCCCUGUCUCCCCCAUCGAUCCCCAGCACCUCCUCGGUGUUCCCCCCUGCGCGCGCCCCUGUGGGCUGCGGCUAACCCUAGACGCCAACUCGUGUUGCGGGCACUGAGGAUGGGAGCGGGCGGCCGCAUCGCUAAGGGGUUGGAGCGCCUGGGGCGUCACCGCCGCCGAACUCCGGGAAUCGCCGCCGCCAAGUCUCCAGGGCAGGGCGGUUUCAAACCCUGCCGACGAACUCCAGGAUACGCAUAAUCAUUGCCGCCGCCCCCCUCCCCCGGCUGCCCCGCGGUCUUCUAUCUCUCCCAACUCCGCUGUCGCGCCACGUCUUCCGUCUCUGCAUGAAUCGCGGCUGUGGCAGCCACUCCCCAUGGCGGCCAUCCUGGCACACCGUGUCCGGGAUGAUGGAGGUGAUGUCGGCCAGGUCCCUGUUUCCGUCGGCAUCUUCUGCGAUGAGACCCGUGGGGGCAGGUUGCACGCUGCUCAUCUGCGUCGAUGGCGUCGGCGUGGUCCUUCCCCUGCCAAGCGUGGCUGCUCCUUGGCUGGAUCAUAGUGAUGAUACAGUCGGCUCGGCGGGGGCUAGGGAUCUCGCUGGCUAGCGUUUAUUUGAUGUCUGGAUGUUCCAAUUGUGAUGGAACAGACGUAUAAUGUACUGUACAAGAAUUUGGACGAGGCUCAUCUGCGUGGAUGGUUGUGGCUUGGCUGCCGGGCACACAAUCCAUUGAUUCACACAUAAGGUCAAAACCGAGUCGCGGUGUUCACAAUGCUGGGCAUUAUUUAUAUCAAAGGACGAGGAGGAAGAUUUGGAUGACCGUAACCAAAAUGGCAAGGGCAGCAACAUGGUCGUCACCUGCAAUGCCGAUGGGUGCUGAGAUUAAGAUGUUUGGUUUAUUUGUUGAAAGUUACAUCCCAUGUUUCAUGAUUUAUUUGCCGCUGGUUAAUCAUGAUAUUUUGAACUGCUCUGACAAUUGCUUGCUGUCUGCGUCUCUUACUUUCCAACUUGCUGCACAUACAGAUAUACAUCAUUAGAAUCUCUUUGUACUUAUUCAACAUGCUUCAGUUAUGCUUCUUUGAAAAUCCAGUUGUAGAUGCAGUGAAGCCCCAUUUAGAUCUUGGCUAUAGUAUUAUUCUUGUCUUAUGACUUAUGACGGAUUGAUAUGUGAUACCAUGACAUAGCAUUGUGGUACCGUGGUAGUCACAUUUGGUGGUAGUUCUGAUUAUUUGCUAGAUUACGAGAUAAGACCAAGUGCUUCUGCAACUCGGUUGCGGUUUUGAUAGGAACAUGAAGACUUGUGCCAUGCCAUGGAGCAUGUUUGAUUUAAAGGACAUAGUUGCUCCAAUAUAUUGAGCAGGGAAGAAGUUUGUUACAAGUGUUUUAUAGAGUUGACGCAAGAGACAUCCGACGGGAUACAUUGGUGCAGGAAUCGACGAAGAAGCUUCCGUUCAGCAUGGUAUCUCAAUGGAAGAAUAUCCGAAGCAAACCUCCGCUACUUGUCUGUUCCCUUUCAUUUGUCGUGGGAAGACCUUAGGAAGGUAGGAAGACCUUAGGAAGAGUGUGUGGGAGGAAGGGAGGCAUGUGCUAUAGAUGUAGGCGAACAAUGGUCCUUGGAAAUUAUUAGUACUUUACAAAAUGUCUGUCCCCUGUGAUGCCUACAAUGAGCGAGAGAGGGUGGAAGGAAGGGAGACCGGAGGAAGGAAGAUGGGGAUAUAUGUAGAGAGAGGGAGAUAGGAGGAAGGGAGAUGGGCAUAUAUGUAGAGAGAGGAAGAUCAGAGAGGGAGGGAAGAUUUACAGGACGAUUGUCAUUGAGCCACUCAAAUAUGUAUGUCUCUGUUGCAUCACACGGGCAAUUAACUAUAGAAAAAUUCAAGGCUAUUUUUGAAAGUGACAUUUAUUCACGCCGAUAAUUUCCAGUUUCAUGUGGCAAUGACGCAUGGAGGACGACGGUCACGAGUGCAUUGUCGCAAGCUCACGGGAGGGAGGCACACAUCUCAUCCAAUGGAAAAGCACGCUCCGAAAAAACCCUAACCCUCCAUGGAGCCAUUGCUAGGGGGCGACGAGAUCAACGCCACCCAUCACGACCACUGAGAUGUAGAAGUGCGGAGAUUUCUUGCCUGGCGUAUAACAAUGCAUGUUCAAUGGGUCGCCUCUUCUCACGCACAAGUCUCAGGGGGAGACAACGACAGCUAUUCAGAAUAACCACAACAAAAUUGUGACACUGGUGGUUAGUGGGAGAAGGAACCUGAGACCGCAGCCGAUUCUGGAGCAAGGGCGAUGUGUAGAAGAUAGUUGUAUCAAGCAUAUAUAUAUAAGUCACUCUGGAAAAAGUGUGUAGUCGUUGUUGUAAUAGAGAUCCAUACCUAUAUUUUCCAAAGUUCAAAAAAGCGCUAGGACGUGAAGAAAUAAGCUAGAUGGGCUGGGCUAGCCCACUAAACCAUAGGCCCAUCUUCA
Molecule: long non-coding RNA, 2604 nt
Organism: Triticum dicoccoides
Lineage: Eukaryota; Viridiplantae; Streptophyta; Magnoliopsida; Poales; Poaceae
Exons: 6
Source: RefSeq, a predicted model, not a curated record